UGGAUAUAAGUGUAUGGAGUUUUCUUUGAACAUAAUCAAAAGUAGUUUGUUUCUUGAAUUUGAAGCAUGAUAUGUAAGCACAUAUAGCUUGGACAAUGAGGAAAUAAUUAUUCAAUUCUCCCAGGGAAGGCGGCUGCUAAGAGCAAAGUUUUGGCUGAAGGAGGCUAGAAGAUCAAUGAGCAAGUGCAACCGUGUCACCUUCACAAAUCCGAACAAUAACUUGGGGGUUAAAGCCUAUUUGUCCAAAUAGUUUUUAAGAAACUGCCUAAAAGGGAAUGGUUUUGUGUGAAUUUUGUUUUAGCUGCUGUCUCACAUAUGAAUGAGAAGUUAGAAGUGUAUACACAUGUCGACAGAAGACGUAUGCUCGAAGUGUUUGUGUGUGGCAUUUAGAGAAAAGGGGCAGGGCCCUUUUAUCUUGAGAACUAUUUCAUUUUGUGCAGAAUCAGGGGUGUGGAUAAACACUACUGACUCAGUGGAAAGUGUUUAAAUAUUGAUGGGGUGUCACUUUAUCCCAAAACUGAGUGAUAUUGGCAAAGAGUGGUUAAGUUUCCUUGCUGUUUCAGGAAAUCGAGCUGACAGCUGGAUAUCCCACGAUCCUUUAGAUCCUGGAUAUUGAUACUUGGAAAGGUAUCUAAGUGUUAAUAUUAUCUAAGUUUGAUAUACUUGAGUGUUGAGGAUACUUAAAAGGUUUAAUUGAACCCAAACUCCAUAAUAAUUUGAAUAUGUCAUUCGCAAGAACGGUGAGUCCAAAUUGUUCCCUGGUUUAUACAAAAGUAUCAGGAUGGAAACAUACCAAGAUAAAUUGUCACAAUUGUAAUGUCCCUAGGUCUGGGAAAUGCAGAACUAAUAAAUUUGGGGUACUGUACACAGCACGUAGUACUGGAAGCCAUGAUAAGGAAAUGUUAAGGGUUACUCCCUAUAAGCAAGGUUCCUGGAAAUGUGAAUGUUCUCAGACCAAGUUAUGUGUAACAAUAUGUCGUUUAGAUUGCAAUAGCAAAAAGAAAGGAACCGACAGGCAAAGUAAUCAAACAGAACCACAGCUACAGCCCAUUUAUGUUGUAAAUCCUACAGGGAAGCCACAAAAGCUGGUUCCGUAUGGGCAAAAUACUAGUAUGAAAAUCCAUAAUAUUACAAAAUCAGAAAAAUAGAUGAUUGGUAUAUCACAGUUUAUUUUAAUAGUAAUAUUAUCAAUUAUAAACGGUUAUUCUAUGUGCUUUGUAAAUAUACAGGUCGAGGAUGCCAGAAUAUCGGAUACUUACUAAGUGAUGAAGCCAGUGUCUAGAUUUUUGUGCACACAUUGCACUGCAUAUGUUGUAAUUCCACAUAGAAGUCACAUAUAUGAUAUUGUUAAUUUUUGUUUUCCCCUUCCUUUUAUUUUACACUAUAUCUACCAACAUAAUUUAUGUUUUGGUAUAAUGUAAGGUGUUUAGCAGUAGCCAAAAGCACUGGUUGGCCACAUUAUAUAGACCAAAAGUAUUAAAACAAAAUAUAUAUAUAUUUAAUCAUAAGAGUCAAAUCCACAAUUACACUACACUAUAGGUCUUUGGCCUAAGAGAAUCCCACCAUGAUAUUAAGUAUGUUGUCAAAAGUCACAGGGAACACAGUGUGGAGGUGGCGUAAUCUUGUAUAAGUACCAGUUGAUGUCUAUCGCUCCACUAAACCUGUUCCAAAGAAUCUGUUUCCAUAUUAGAUUUUCAUUGGCACAUGCUCAAAUUCUAUAGUAAGCCAUGCCUAAAAGAAAAGAAAGGAGUUAUGAUACACCAGAGCACAGUCUCCUCACAGGCGAACAGCAGUGCUGGGAGCAGCUGGCAUUAUAUGAAGCCUGGUGAGUUUAUGAAUAGUCUGUAAAUCUCUUUUCAGGGCUUCCUACAGAUCAUUGGGAAAGGACCAUGUCAAAUACUACCUCCAUUUGCAAAAAAUGUUGCUGAGAGAAGCCCACCUGGAGAAGAUAAAAGCAACAACGAGGGCGGCUGAUCUUAACCUAGCUUUGGAGGCACUGUUUAAAGGACAGUAAAUAGUUACAUGCCAUGUUUGGUAAGGAUGGUAAAGUGUAAGGAUGUGGGACAGAUGACAAUGUCCUGCAGGCCUGAAUGAAAUGCAUCUUAAGGAUCAUUAAUCCCUCUAAGUAAAUUGGAUGGCAAAUAUUAUGUACUGCAUAUGUUUCAUGCUUGAUUGAACAAGGGGGGGAAACAGGAUGGAGAGCUGAAUCAAGUUCCUGGUACUGUAGCAAGUAAGGUAACAAUUCACUUGUGGGUUCUAUGUGACUGAUGACAUUUCUCCCUACACCAUGGUCCAUAAUGGCUUAACAUAUAGUAUGUUCCCCCACACUGACCAUGACAUAUAAAAAUAUAAUGAGUAAUGCUAGGAAUAUGUACAAAAUAAUGUUUCUAUAAGAUAUUGAUAAAUUGGUACUUCAGCAGAAGCUUUUACCAGCAUUAAUAAUCAAAGGUGUUGAAUCUCAAGAUUCAAAAGGAGGGAGAAACAGAUUAUCGUCUCCACUGAUGGAUCAGCAAGAAGAUCAAGAGGACCAGGAAGAUGGUCCAGAAUUCUAAAUAAUAAAAAAUGUUCUUUUUCCCAAUGUUACAGAUACAGGGAAAAAGUUGGUUAGAGUGUUUACCAAUAACUUUGUUCAGUAUUAGAACCACACCCAGUAAAACUACAGGUCAUUCACCUUAUGAAAUCUUGUUUGGUAGCAUACCAAAGAUAGGAUGUUAUUAUAUUUGACUGCAUAUAUUAAAGAGUCUUACUGAGAAACUAAUAUCUUUGCAUUCUCUAGUUUUGCCUCUCUCCCAUAUUCAGAAGCAGAACUGAAUCCCCACAAGCUUCAACCAGCAGAUUGGGUGUAUCUGAAAACACACAUGAGAAAGUCACUUGAGCCCAGAUUUGAUGGUCCAUACCAAGUGCUGUUGACCAUGCCAACUUCUGUGAAGGUUAAAGAGAGAGAAGCUUGGAUACAUGCAUCCCACUGCAAACAUGCCCAAGUUAAGUUUGGAUAAACAAACCCACUCACACACAAUCAUGCUAAGAUUAUUUGGGCCUAAGCCAGACAAGCCACUAUGGGGAGUCAUAUUAGGAACCUCAGUCAUUAUUGACCUAAUUAUAUACUCUGCAUUUCUCUUUGAGAACAAUAAAAAAGGUGAAAUAAGGGGAAAUUUGACUCACCAACCUCCACCCCAUGAAAAUCAUAGCAAUCUUGUAAGAGAUAGAAGAAGUGCUACUAUCUGGCCAAACUCAUUGGUCCAGUCUCACUUUCAAGUAGCCAAUGAGGUCAUGUAGAUUGUUCCCAAACCCUAGUAAAUUUCACAACUAACAAGGGGUUGGACAUCACCACAUGCGAAAGAGGAGGUUAUACUUACCGAUUUCCCCUUAGGGACAUUAAGGUUUAGGGAAAUACUUCUAAUCCCCAAAUAAUUGAAUGGCUUAACAGUUCAGAAUGCAGCUCACAUAUUCAUUCUAAAUCUAGGUUUACAGAGAAAAAACUGGUUGAAUACUUCCAAUCCCCACAACCUGAAUGGCUUAAUAGCUCCUUUGAAGACAUGUUCAAGGUCAUUCAGGCCCACUGUACAGCCUACAGAUUGCAUAUGGGGUAGUAAUUAAUGUGCCCUAUAUUUUACAACCAGAUGUGUAUUUUCUGUGUGGGAAGAAGGCUUAUAAAUGGAUACCCUAUGGAGGACAGGGUACCUGUAACCUAGGGAAGGUAAUACCAGCAGUUAGAUCAAUAGAUAAUCACGAGAAGGAGGAAACCUCAGGUCAUCUAAGUCCCUUAAAGAAAAGGGAACUAAAAAAGAGCAAGACUCAAGCCCAUGAUCUUCUUUACAUUCCAUGGUACAAGAAAAUGGGAUUAGCCCUUGCGGGAGGAACAGUUCAGAACUCCCAUAACAUAUAAGCAUUAGCAAAGCUGCUUGAUAACAUUACUGUUAUAUAUGAUGACACAUUUAAACUAGUUUUAGAGGACAUAAAAAUGGUAAAGCGAGAGGUGCAUGCUCACAGAAUGGUCUUAGAUUACCUAACAGCCAAGGAAGGAGGAAUGUGCAUGACAGUAGAAGGAGCAUGCUGCAAUUAUCUGAAUCAAGCCACCUCUAUUGAGGAAGCCAUAGAAGACCACCUAAACAAAGUGCAAGAACUUAAGGAUACAUUCAGGGAAAAGCAUAAUGACCAUGAACAUGAUUUGUAUAGGGAAGGGUGGUUAUCUUGGCUAAACCCAGCUAACUGGUUCAGUAGGAUUAAAGGAUGGAUUGUUGGAAUCUUAAUGUUUUUGCUUAAAAUUGUUGGCUUAGCAAUAAUUAUAUAUCUGUGUAUUAAGAUACUAUUUUGUUUCCUUUCAGCUUGCAAAAAGUCUAUAAACUCAAGAUUUGAAAACUCCAAGUUUAAGAAGCUACAGAAGAGCUUGGCAAGAAAGAGCUGUGAGCAGUCUAGCUUGAUGGAUAUGAGCGAACGGUCAUUACCCUCCGUCAGAUACAGUGAAAAGCACCAUCUCACGGGGACAUAAGCCUUUAGCACCAUCAUGGCUAGACUGUUUGCCUAGACUCGUUAGUAAGAGAUAUUGUAAUGCCUCAUAGCUCAACUGUAAUGUCAGAUUAUUAUAAAAAUGAGGGACUGAGAGAGAUAGCAUUGUGCUACAGCAGUUAUCAGCCAUCUUGUAUAACAGCAGCCAUUUUAGUAAAUGCUUUAGGCUUCAUAAUGAGUUAUAAGUAAUGCUGACAUUUCAAAUAGUUAGAAAGAAGUUUCUGUGAGAAGCAAGGUCAAAUGGACUUUCUGGAAACAUAUUAUGAAACAAUCUCAUUGCUAAGGACAAACAGAGCAUAUUCUAAGAGAUUGUAUGUUUCUUUUCAGCAAUGAUUCUUUGUUCUAUUUGUGAUACAUACAAAAUGCUGUGUAAUCAUUUCUUUGCCUAUAAUAACCCUGGGCAAACGAACCAAUAUAGAUUCAUUUUGCUAACAUA
Long non-coding RNA from Pseudophryne corroboree (corroboree frog), 4942 nucleotides. RefSeq lists it as uncharacterized. The record is from RefSeq and is a predicted model, not a curated record. The transcript has 2 exons. Lineage: Eukaryota; Metazoa; Chordata; Amphibia; Anura; Myobatrachidae.